GUAGGUGAACCUGCGGAGGGAUCAUUACAGAGUUCUCGCCCUACCGGGUAGAUCUCCUACCUACUGUUAUUGCUACUGUCGUUGCUUUGGCGGGCCGCCGGCCCCGGCUGGCGCGCGCCUGCCAAAGGCCCCUAAACUCUGAAUGUCAGUGUCGUCUGAGUACUAUACAAUAGUUAAAACUUUUAAUAACGGAUCUCUUGGUUCUG
Molecule: unclassified non-coding RNA, 206 nt
Filed under: rhizosphere metagenome
Description: partial ribosomal RNA internal transcribed spacer region
Source: RNAcentral